AGCCCAUAGAAUUGCCAUCAGCAAACAUUUUCCUGUGUCAUAUUAGCCAGUCUCCAUGGCUCCCCCUGGCCUGGGGACAAUGGCACAAGUUUGCACACUUGGCUACUGUCACCGUGCCAACGCCGGCGUGGCUGCAGGCAGGGCCACUGGCUCAGAGCAAGCAAGGGAGCCCAGAGCCAGCGCUGACCCUGCCCACCACUGGCUGGAGAGAAGGUCCACGAAGGUGAACCCCAGGGAAGCACAGAGCUGGGCUGUAGGUCGCUCUGUGACUCCAGGGACUCGAAUGCCCUUAGCCAGUGAACAGUGCUCAUGGUUGCUGAAGCUCUGCUCAAUGAUGGAUUCUCCACACUUCUUCAGGGCUGUGGCUCUCAUAAAAGCCAGGAGCACAUUCCCCGAUGGCAUCCCUACUUCAGUUCUGGAGAGCUCUGCAAAAGUCAGCAAGCUGAGCUGACUCAAGCCAAAGAACUCAGUGAGCUGGGGCGGGCACCUCUCCCUGCCUGACCAGGGUCACUGCAGAGGUCUCUGACUUCUGGCUCCAGGCUCCUCUGACACCAGACUGUGGUAGUGGGAGGUUCCGUUUGGUCCAAGGACCAAGGACAGAGACCCUGCAGACCUUCCUGGGUGUCACAAUUAUCCUCUUUUUUUUUUUUUUUUUUUGGUACCA
Molecule: non-coding RNA, 664 nt
Organism: Heterocephalus glaber (naked mole-rat)
Lineage: Eukaryota; Metazoa; Chordata; Mammalia; Rodentia; Bathyergidae
Source: RefSeq, a predicted model, not a curated record